UAGCCUCUCCUUGGCUUUGUCU
This 22-nucleotide microRNA is filed under the name Manduca sexta (tobacco hornworm). Its description in RNAcentral is "mse-miR-282". Its record names the gene mse-miR-282. RNAcentral also lists the same sequence under 2 other names. The record is from miRBase by way of RNAcentral. Lineage: Eukaryota; Metazoa; Arthropoda; Insecta; Lepidoptera; Sphingidae.